Molecule: transfer RNA, 91 nt
Filed under: Lingula anatina
Lineage: Eukaryota; Metazoa; Brachiopoda; Lingulata; Lingulida; Lingulidae
Rfam family: tRNA
About the family: Transfer RNA (tRNA) molecules are approximately 80 nucleotides in length. Their secondary structure includes four short double-helical elements and three loops (D, anti-codon, and T loops).
Source: Rfam by way of RNAcentral
GCCGAGAUAGCUCAGUUGGGAGAGCGUCAGACUGAAGGGAAAGUAUAUAUAAGAAAUCUGAAGGUCGCUGGUUCAAUCCCGGCUCUCGGCA